AACGAACGCUGGCGGCAUGCCUAACACAUGCAAGUCGAACGAUGCCUUCGGGCAUAGUGGCGCACGGGUGCGUAACGCGUGGGAAUCUGCCUUUCGGCUCGGAAUAACUCAGGGAAACUUGAGCUAAUACCGGAUAACGUCGCAAGACCAAAGAUUUAUCACCGAAAGAUGAGCCCGCGUAGGAUUAGCUAGUUGGUGAGGUAAAGGCUCACCAAGGCGACGAUCCUUAGCUGGUCUGAGAGGAUGAUCAGCCACACUGGGACUGAGACACGGCCCAGACUCCUACGGGAGGCAGCAGUGGGGAAUAUUGGACAAUGGGCGAAAGCCUGAUCCAGCAAUGCCGCGUGAGUGAUGAAGGCCUUAGGGUUGUAAAGCUCUUUUACCCGGGAAGAUAAUGACGGUACCGGGAGAAUAAGCCCCGGCUAACUCCGUG
Molecule: ribosomal RNA, 433 nt
Filed under: uncultured bacterium
Lineage: Bacteria
Description: partial 16S ribosomal RNA
Rfam family: Bacterial small subunit ribosomal RNA
Source: RNAcentral